RNAcentral lists this long non-coding RNA (483 nucleotides) under Chloebia gouldiae (Gouldian finch). Its description in RNAcentral is "Erythrura gouldiae (Gouldian finch) lncRNA (ENSEGOG00005007136.1)". Lineage: Eukaryota; Metazoa; Chordata; Aves; Passeriformes; Passeridae. The record is from RNAcentral.
ACACUGCAAAACCUUGUCAAAAUAGGAUAAUCUAUCCAAAAUACAAACCUAGACAUACAGGAAAGGAUUUAUGCAACUUUCUCCACCAAAGCAGAAAAGCACUAAUAUGUGUUAUGUACCGUGGAACAAUGCAAGAAUUAAAGAAUAUAAAGCCAUGGACUGAGGGAACUCUGGUUAGUUGUUUUUCCUUCCUUUGCUUGCUGAAGCAAAAGCCAACUUCUAUGCAAACACCUGCCAGUAACAGCACCUGGAGGAAGCUGUGCAUCCCUCUGAAAUUCCUCUGUGGUGGGCUCUGGAGUGGAACUUCAGCCCCAGAAAAGUCAGCUGUGAAGCUCGAGCAGAGAGACCCACCUGUCCCAGGAGAAGGGAAGCUCCUGGGGCUGCCCACCUCUGCCCACAGCAGCAUGCCUUCCUCUGCCGGCCAGCAGACUGGCCUUGAAGCUGACUACUGGUGAAUGACAAAGUAGCUAUUUUAUUUUGGAG